This 584-nucleotide ribosomal RNA is filed under the name uncultured bacterium. Its description in RNAcentral is "partial 16S ribosomal RNA". It matches the Rfam family "Bacterial small subunit ribosomal RNA", at positions 355 to 1375 of the family's 1533-position model. The record is from RNAcentral.
UGGGGAAUUUUGGACAAUGGGCGAAAGCCUGAUCCAGCAAUGCCGCGUGUGUGAAGAAGGCCUUCGGGUUGUAAAGCACUUUUGUCCGGAAAGAAAUCCUUGGCUCUAAUACAGUCGGGGGAUGACGGUACCGGAAGAAUAAGCACCGGCUAACUACGUGCCAGCAGCCGCGGUAAUACGUAGGGUGCAAGCGUUAAUCGGAAUUACUGGGCGUAAAGCGUGCGCAGGCGGUUUGCUAAGACCGAUGUGAAAUCCCCGGCUCAACCUGGACUGCAUUGGUGACUGGCAGGCUAGAGUAUGGCAGAGGGGGGUAGAAUUCCACGUGUAGCAGUGAAAUGCGUAGAGAUGUGGAGGAAUACCGAUGGCGAAGGCAGCCCCCUGGGCCAAUACUGACGCUCAUGCACGAAAAGCGUGGGGAGCAAACAGGAUUAGAUACCCUGGUAGUCCACGCCCUAAAACGAUGUCAACUAGUUGUUGGGGAUUCAUUUCCUUAGUAACGUAGCUAACGCGUGAAGUUGACCGCCUGGGGAGUACGGUCGCAAGAUUAAAACUUAAAUGAAUUGACGGGGUCAUAGCUGUUUCCU